AUUGAACGCUGGCGGCAGGCCUAACACAUGCAAGUCGAACGAGUGGCGGACGGGUGAGUAAUGUUUGGGAAUCUACCUUGUGGAGGGGGAUCACUAAGGGAAACUGUAGCUAAUACCGCAUCCCAUAGGAUGCACCCCUGUGGGAUUAGCUAGUUGGUGGGGUAAAGGCUCACCAAGCCGCCUAGCUCUAGCUGGUCUGAGAGGAUGACCAGCCACACUGGGAGUGAGACACGGCCCAGACUCCUACGGGAGGCAGCAGUGGGGAAUAUUGCGCAAUGGGGGCAACCUGAUGCAGCCAGGCCGCGUGAAUGAAGAAGGCCUUCGGGUUGUAAAGUUCGUUCGGUAGCGAGGCGUUAACUACAGAAGAAGAACCGGCUAACUCCGUGCCAGCAGCCGCGGUAAUAC
RNAcentral lists this ribosomal RNA (405 nucleotides) under uncultured bacterium. RNAcentral describes it as "partial 16S ribosomal RNA". It matches the Rfam family "Bacterial small subunit ribosomal RNA", at positions 30 to 526 of the family's 1533-position model. The record is from RNAcentral.